Small nuclear RNA from Carlito syrichta (Philippine tarsier), 164 nucleotides. Its record names the gene U1. It matches the Rfam family "U1 spliceosomal RNA". Rfam says of the family: U1 is a small nuclear RNA (snRNA) component of the spliceosome (involved in pre-mRNA splicing). Its 5' end forms complementary base pairs with the 5' splice junction, thus defining the 5' donor site of an intron. There are significant differences in sequence and secondary structure between metazoan and yeast U1 snRNAs, the latter being much longer (568 nucleotides as compared to 164 nucleotides in human). NCBI's taxonomy places the organism in Eukaryota, Metazoa, Chordata, Mammalia, Primates, Tarsiidae. The record is from Ensembl.
AUACUUACCUGGCAGGAGAGAUACCAUGACCACGAAGGUGGUUUUCACAGGGUGAGGCUUAUCCAUUGCACUCUGGAUGUGCUGACCCCUGUGAUUUCCCCAAAUGUGGGAAACUCAACUGCAUAAUUUGUGGUAGUGGGGGACUGCAUUCAUGCUCUCCCCUG